UUUGAGGGGAAUGUUGUCUGGCUCGAGGUGCGCAGAAACCUGGUGGAGAUCUCAUCUCGAUCUAGGUUGAUCUCGGACCAGGCUUCAUUCCCCUCAAG
This 98-nucleotide microRNA precursor is filed under the name Setaria italica (foxtail millet). Its description in RNAcentral is "pre miRNA mir-166". It matches the Rfam family "mir-166 microRNA precursor family". From Rfam's summary of the family: This family represents the plant microRNA (miRNA) precursor mir-166. Animal miRNAs are transcribed as ~70nt precursors and subsequently processed by the Dicer enzyme to give a ~22nt product. The record is from Rfam by way of RNAcentral. RNAcentral also lists the same sequence under 1 other name. Lineage: Eukaryota; Viridiplantae; Streptophyta; Magnoliopsida; Poales; Poaceae.